AGCGAACGCUGGCGGCGUGCCUAACACAUGCAAGUCGAGCGAGAAAGGGGUGGCAACACCCUGAGUAAAGCGGCGAACGGGUGAGUAACGCUUGGGAAUCUGCCUAUUAGUGGGGGACAACCCGGGGAAACUCGGGCUAAUACCGCAUACGCACUACGGUGGAAAGCCGGGGACCGCAAGGCCUGGCGCUAACAGAUGAGCCCAAGUCGGAUUAGCUAGUUGGUAGGUAACGGCCUACCAAGGCGACGAUCCGGUAACUGGUCUGAGAGGACGACCAGUCACACCGGAACUGAGACACGGUCCGGACUCCUACGGGGA
RNAcentral lists this ribosomal RNA (318 nucleotides) under uncultured bacterium. RNAcentral's name for it is "bacterial SSU rRNA". It matches the Rfam family "Bacterial small subunit ribosomal RNA", at positions 29 to 347 of the family's 1533-position model. The record is from RNAcentral.